Meleagris gallopavo (turkey) is the source of this 6698-nucleotide non-coding RNA. NCBI's taxonomy places the organism in Eukaryota, Metazoa, Chordata, Aves, Galliformes, Phasianidae. The record is from RefSeq and is a predicted model, not a curated record.
UUUAUGAUUACUAUCCUGUUCGUUAUUGCCUAAGCUCAGUUUGAUUGAAAAGUAAGAGACAGAAAAGGUAGGCAGGCUAGAUAGAAGGGCACAAAAAUGGAGUGGUAUUGCGAUAAAUACCUUUAGAUUCUUGCAGGAGCACAAAGAAAUGAAUUAUAUUACAAAGAAUAUUGUGUUUCCCAUGUAUACUGUGGGUAAGCUCCUACUUUGUUUCCAAAUCUAUUUAUAGUUCCAAGAUUAUUUGAAAUCUUGAUGAAAUCGUUUAGUACCCAUGGUUACCAAGCACACUGCAUGAACUAACACAAAUCUAGUGCUGUGAUAUAUCAUCAGUUCUGUCCUUUUCUAGCAGUUAUUUUCUGGUACAAAUCCUCACAGGUAUAGACAGUAAAACUGAUGUUUAUUUCUCAUCUUUGUAGUAAGUUGUAUUUAACAUUAUUGCUUCUGCCUCGCUUUACCUUCCACAAGGUAUCAUGGCACUUGGGAAACAUAAAUAGUCUUGGUCUGCAUUAUGUACCUCUGAAAACCGUCAAUCUUGAGGACAUACUGUUUCUGAGUGGAUGAGAAACAGUUACUUGCUGAAUAUUUAUAGAGAUCAAACAGUGGAUGUGAGCACAGUGAGGUGGUGGGUGGUGCAUUUCAGCAGUGGUGACAACAACACGAAAGACUAGCUACAUUCCAAAAGGCCAUGCGGGUUUUUAUGAGUGGCACGCAGGCCCUUGUUCAUCACUGGUAAAAAUGCACAGCUGACGGUGGUGGCUGUGUUGAAAAAGUAUUUUGUAGCUGAGAAUUUUCACUCUGUAGUAGUGCAAUUAUGCUUUUUGCAUCUGUUGUAGUUGCCAUGGAAAUAAAUAGGAGGCGUUACUUUUGGAGCGACCAAUGCAAUAUUUAUGAAGGCUGUUAGAUUUAUUUGCUCCUACCAAUUUUCAUCUAACAAUCCUUUCAUGAGUGCUACAUAUUAAUUAAAUCAGCUAGUAAAAGCCAACAUGACAGCCAUAUGCAUGGUAAUUAGCAGGUACAGCCUGAUUGCCACCAGAAGUAGUAAUGUUUCAGUACUAAUGGGCCAUUACGGUGAGUGGGUUAUGGUUUCAGCAUUUCUUCUCUGUAAUAAUGUUGUCCUGGGCGUCAGCUUUUCCUGCUGACAACAGCUCGAAGUAGAACCACAGCUAAAAACAGGUAAUCCUCCUCAUCCAAAUGUGCUUGCUAAUGAAAAGCUUUUGGGGGAGAGAAGAAUUUGGAAUAGCGUUAAUAUUUCAGACGUAUGUUUAAGUCAUCUAAGGCUUGUAUUGUUUUCCACUCUAAUCACGCUACUUCUUUUUAAACAAGAGCUUACAGAAAUCCAUUCAAUUCACAGGAGAGCUCUGAAAUUGUAAUGCUUAUGUUCCUAUAAAACAUUUGUUACAUUAUUGCAAUUCAUCUCCCCAUGUUAUACAGGAAACACAGCAAAUGAAAACGUUUCUGAAAUGCCUAUUGCUCAUGCUUGAUUUCUGGAGGGGGAAGAAGAAAAAAUAAAUUGCUCACGCAGAACAGAGACUCUCCUUUAAUUUUCUUGUUCUCUCCUAAGCAGCGCACAGAGACUGCUCAGCUGUGAGGCUUAACAGAUGUGGCAGAACUGAAGCAUGGAAAGUCUGUCCACAGGAGAAACGUAUCAGCUAUCUUGAGACAUCAGAUGCCAACAGCUAUGAACCUCACUCCUCUUCUGAUACCUGCCUUGGGAAAAGCAUGUGAAAGCAGACUGAAGUUUUUAAGUGACCAUGGAUGAGGAAGCCCUACAGUACCGGUGUGCUACUCCUUUUCCCAGAGAUCUGCCAUUUUUCUGCACCGGCAGGAGAGUCUGUGGCCUUUGGAAAUGAAUCACCUUUAAAAAGGAAUGAUGACCAGGAUGACCUGAAGCAGGUGAAGAGGCAGUCAGCCCGCUCACUUUUUCCUUCUGUGCAGUGUCAUCACAAAACUCUUCACUGUUUUUUCAUCUGCUGUGACCACACAGUUAAGAAAGGCUCGUCAGCCCUCGCCAAGCCCAUCACCUAACACUCGAGGAAUAGAGGCUUCCAAGCAUUUUGGACACCUGCCCCAUUUCUGAAGACCCCAUUUUGAAGGGACAGUUGAGACGCCUAACUAUGAGGAAGGAGGAAUACAUCUGGGAGUACAUAUGUGCCAAGGCUCUGGCAGGGAGAUGAAGCCUACAUUUGCCACGUUUGGUUUCCAAAAUAAAAUGACAUAGUCCUGUCAUGGUGUGCGUGAAAAAUUUUUAAGACAGCUGACUAAAAGGCAUGUGAAAUGUGAAUUUCCCAAUUGCUUAUUGUCGCUAAAAAGCACAGUGUGGCAUAUCAAUCCAGACUGUGCUGAUGUGCUACGCUACACUGCAAUACCUCUUAAUAUGAGAUAUUCAUUUCUGAAGUGUGCAAGGUGACACAGCAGUGGUCAGUGGAAAUGCUUCGGCAGAUGAAAAAGAUCAGCUUCUGAGACAUGGCUGGAACUGCUGUUAAUCGUGGACCUGUGGGUCCUGGUGAAGCCAUCAUCAUCCCUACCCUUGUGGUGGACCUUUGGAGCCUGAAUGGACCAAGAGUGAUAUAAACUUGCAGUAAUGACUCUUGAGCAGAAAGCAAUCAAGUGAUAACAGCCGGGCAGAGGUGAGCAUGAAUGCACUGUCCAAGAACUUGCAAGUCAGACUCCUUCUGUAGAUCUGAUGCAUGCAUCCAUCUUUGGCUGAGCAUAGAUCAGUGCCUGUGCCACUCUCUGUGGAAGGUGUGAAAUUCAAAGCUAUGCAGCUCUUCAAAGCUUUCACAUGAAUUUCUGAAGAGUUUAUGCAGAAAUGUGCUCUGCUGUUUCUCUCUGUACUUUGCUUAGUGCUAUAAUGGCUGUCUUGUAUUCAAAUGUGAUUUUCUGGUGCAAUUUUCCUCUCUUAGUGAAAAGCUAAGCCAUUCCUUAACAUGACUAGCAAAAAUAAAAAUAAAAAAUCCCUGUGUGGUAGAAUACUGCUGCCUGUUAAUAUUAUUAACAUGUUAAUAUUAUUAAUAUGCCCUGGAUCCAUAGCAAAGAGUUAGAAUUUCAGUUAAUUUCAGUUAAUUUCUGUGGUUCCUGGCAGUUCUUUCACAACUUGAGCUGAGGGAAAAGUCAAACUGUGGGGGGCUCUCAGCCCUUUUCCCUGGCCUUGAGAAAAACGGCUCAUGGAUUGCUUUCCAUGGAUCAGCGGCCAUGAUGCUCUGCUAGGAGACUUUGUUUCCAAGACAACUGUUGCCAAGAAAGACUGGUUUUCCUUGGGAACAAUUGCUUUGUUAUUUCUGUACAGCAAACCUUCUGUAUCCACUGUUAGAACUGUGAGAGAAGCUCUUGGGGCUCCAAAUCCUGGUGGAAAUGGAGAAACACGAAGGCAAAGUCAUUCUAAUCACCAAGAGGGGGUUUGCAGUCUUACAUGGACUGCACAAAGUUCACGAUCUCUCAGGACAUGUAUGCACUCUGCAAAUACAGGCCCUGAAAUAGCACUUGUGAGCCUCUUCGGGACAUGCUUUCAAACGAAUUCCAAAGCUUAAGGUUCUCUUCAACAACUCUUAGUUGGGAAUAGAUGAGGUCUUUAGGGAUAUUCUGUAUCUGUAUUCUGUAUACAUCUGUAUAAAAAUCUUACAAUUUAGUACAGAGGCUGUGAUUAGCAACUUGUGCAUGCUGAAAGCAGCAGAUUCCCCCACCUCACACUAAUGUGAAAAUCUCGUGCUUUUUAGAGUAAUGCUUUUGAGACAUGCUCUCGAAGGAUCAUUCUGUUUCCAUUAACAUUUCUUUUGAUUUUUCAAUCAUCUGAAAGAUAGGCUUUGCUUCACUUUAUUAAAGGUAUAGUCUUAAUAUGUGUCAAGUCAAUAAUCCCUUUUGUUACGGAGGUUUCUAAAGUUUGUGAUAAAUAUCUUUACUAGCUUCUACCAUUAGCUUCCCAUUUUUUGCAUUGAAUAAUUCUAUUUCAAUUGGAAAGUUUCUUUGAUUAUGUCAUAAUAUUAGGUCAUAUUCAACUCAGUGGAUUUAAUGUAGUUAAAUGAAUAAGCUAUUCUCCUGGUAAGUACAUACACUUACUGACCACCUAGCAUCCACCAGAGGUCACUUCCUGGCCACAUAAUCCAUUACCAACUGUGCUUUCAGUUCAGCUGUUAGCUUCUUUUGUUUUGUCCUCAAAAACCUGCUAAUUACUUUGAAUCCUUUCCAGAAUCAUUAAGACACAGAAAAAGAUCCUGAUGAAACAUGAAAAAUAUAGGGAUUUGAUUGAUGCCACAACCUGAGUGGCUAACCAUCCUAUGCUUUGCACGAUAUUAAGGAUAUAUUAUUAAAGACAUUAAAAUAUAUUAUGUGUAGAUAUUAAAGAAUUUUAAGUACAACCUGACUCUACCGUGUCAUCUUAUCUGGAUUCUCAUCGGCUCAAUCGUCACAAAAUCUUUCUCAAUAUGCACUUAAAUUGAAAAGCAAAAUGUAUUUACAGCUUCUGAAACAUCAGCAGCAUUUGAGCCUCUCUUAUUGUUUAUUGGAGAGGCCUGUGUUUGACAAUUUUUUCUUGCAAUAUGAAGAAAGCCCUCUAGAAUUCUUUACUGACAAGUCAAUUAAAAGACACGAACAACUCAUCCUAUUUUGGAAAAGGUGCCAUUCUACAUCUUUUGUAGCUGAAGUGAAAAUCUGGAAAUCAGAAGUGAUGUUUCAUGAGAUGUUAUUUUCCUCCAGCAUCUCAUGUUCUUAAAGCUUACAUGUCUUUUAACUCAACCUACUCAUUUUCAAGGAGAUGGAGGAACUUGUUAUAUGUGUUUGUGGCAGUCUGUUCCCUAAAAUGAGGAAACUUUGUGAAUUGUGAACUUUGUUCGAAAUCUCAAGCAAACCCAAACUUCUCAGUUAAGAAAAUGGAGGGGUUUUUUUUGUUGUUUUGUUUUUGGUUUUUUUUUGUCUGGUCUGCUUCAGAUCCAUCUCACUCUCUUAUAUCUCCUACAUCAGUCUCAGUUUCACAAACUCCAAACCAUAGAUCAGUAUCUCUUUUGAGACUAUAAUAAGAAUCAGGAAUAUUUUUCGUUUAUCAGUGUAGUUCCAGACUAAAGUGCAGUCAUUUAAAGUUUAAGAGAGGAGAAGGUGGUAUUUGUACCUAGUUUAUCAUCUGUCUGAUUAUUAUUAACACCCACUGGAAAUUUGCUGGCAUGUGCUUGUUUAGAUCUCUUAUAAACAUACUUCAGUAACAUAAACUUAGAGUUUUAUACUUUUUGAUGCUUGUACUAAUUGCUACAAUGAGUGGUGAGAUGAAUAAUAAUUACAAUAUUAUUCCUAUACCUUCUUUUUACUAUGGCGUUCUUGCUAGCAUGUACUACUGUACACAUUUCGACCUCUUUCACAAGUAAUGGUUAAGUUUAAAUUGUUCUUUAUAUAGACAGUGAGUACAGGAAAUCCAAAGAUUUUAUCAUUGGUGAGGAUUGCCUCAAGGUAACAGCCCACUGCCAGAAACAACUAUCCAUGUAGUCUUUGUGUCUGGUUGACAAAUGAAAAUAAAGAGAGCCUCAGCUCCACUCCAUCCUUCUUACUGUGCAGAAGUACAGAUGCAUAGGAGGUUACACAGGCAAGGGAUAAAUCACUGUUAAUUCAGAAGAACAGGACAGCUUCCACUUCAGAUUUUUUGAAAGGGUUCUAAUUAUACUCACUGUAUGAGCACCUAUUAAGAAUUGUGCUCCAUAAUGCCUGGACUGAGUUUUUUUUCUGAAAUAAGGUUAUUCCUAGGGUUUUGUUCUUCAGAACUCUAUAAUCCUACCUCUGAUUGUCUCAGUGAAAGGUUUGAAAUACUUUGUAAGCUCCUGGUUUGGAGAUAAGAGCACACUGUUGGUCUGACAUCAAAGUGAAUUAAUGAGCUGGCUGUGCAUUUCUAUCCACUGCUUUAGCCAGACACUCCUUUGCAAACCUCUAGAAGCUGUCACCCUGCUCUGCUAUGAUGAAAAUAAUUGGAUGUAGCUCCCACUUCUGUUACUGCCAUUACUGUUGCUGCUGGCAAAGGGGACUCAAAACCGAUGGCUCCAAAGGCAGGAAACAUUCAGAGAAGUUCAAUGGGGGAAAAAUAAACCAGAAGUUUUUGUGGAUUACAAGGUGACUUUAUGAGCUCUGGAAGCCAUGUGUUGACAGAAUAUGGAUAGCACAUUUUAGUUCUUAGCCAACUGAUAUGGAAUUUUCAGCAUCUUAUUUAAGGUAAUAGACCUCUAAUUCCAAAUCUUUUCUUCAUGGUGUUGGCUUUCAAAUGUUUUUAUCAUGGUUGAAAGAGUUUGAAUUGAUAUUUUCAGCUGGAGAUGUCUAUCAGAGCUUCCUCUGGGUAAGGAAGUUUUCCACAAGCAGAGCUGCUAGAGCCAUCUAUUCCUCAGAACGACAUUUUACACCACUCUUAUUUCAGAGCUAUCCUUGGUAAUAUACCCAAAGACAAACUAUUCCUAUUACUGUACUUUUCAUGCAGGCUCUAUUUGGCCUGCUCACUGUGUCACAGUCUUUAUAGGAAAAGAAGUAGUAGGUGACUUACUUAAAUGUUUUGUUUCUUCACACAAUAUUGUCUUUUCUCAUCUACACACAAAUGUACAUGUUUGAAUUGGCCAAUUAUUUUCCAUGGAUAAUGCAGAGUAUACUAAUCGCUGCCGUCAAGCAGGAUCCAAGUCUUUAUUUGAAGAUUAUUCCACUGACUGAAUAAAGAGGAAAAGCAUUACAGUCAAAAUGAACAC